CCAAUAGCGUAUAUUAAAGUUGUUGCAGUUAAAAAGCUCGUAGUUGAAUUUCGGGGUCAGUAGGUUGGUCGUGCCACUGGUACGUACUGGUCUCACUGAUUCCUCCUUCCUGAUGAACCGUAAUGCCAUUAAUUUGGUGUUGCGGGGAAACUGGACUGUUACUUUGAAAAAAUUAGAGUGUUUAAAGCAGGCUAACGCUUGAAUACAUUAGCAUGGAAUAAUGAAAUAGGACGUUCGAUCCUAUUUUGUUGGUUUCUAGGAUUGACGUAAUGAUUAAUAGGGAUAGUUGGGGGCAUUAGUAUUCAAUUGUCAGAGGUGAAAUUCUUGGAUUUAUUGAAGACUAACUACUGCGAAAGCAUUUGCCAAGGAUGUUUUCAUUAAUCAAGAACGAAAGUUAGGGGAUCGAAGACGAUCAGAUACCGUCGUAGUCUUAACCAUAAACUAUGCCGACUAGGGAUUGGAUAAUGUUAAUUUUUUAAUGACUCAUUCGGCGCCUUACG
This 500-nucleotide ribosomal RNA is filed under the name uncultured Glomeromycotina. RNAcentral describes it as "partial small subunit ribosomal RNA". It matches the Rfam family "Eukaryotic small subunit ribosomal RNA", at positions 591 to 1092 of the family's 1831-position model. Lineage: Eukaryota; Fungi; Glomeromycota. The record is from RNAcentral.